Molecule: transfer RNA, 70 nt
Filed under: Ictidomys tridecemlineatus (thirteen-lined ground squirrel)
Lineage: Eukaryota; Metazoa; Chordata; Mammalia; Rodentia; Sciuridae
Description: Spermophilus tridecemlineatus (thirteen-lined ground squirrel) tRNA
Rfam family: tRNA
About the family: Transfer RNA (tRNA) molecules are approximately 80 nucleotides in length.
Source: Rfam by way of RNAcentral
UGGGCUGUGGCUCAGUGGUAGAGUACUUGCCUGGCACACAUGAGGCACUGGGUUCUAUCCUCAGCACCAA